GGGUGCCGCUCAGUGGUAGAGCACUUGCCUUGCAUAUGUGAGGCCCUAAGUUCAAUCCUCAGUACCACCCA
This 71-nucleotide transfer RNA is filed under the name Marmota monax (woodchuck). Its description in RNAcentral is "tRNA.Ala". Lineage: Eukaryota; Metazoa; Chordata; Mammalia; Rodentia; Sciuridae. The record is from RNAcentral.